CCAGACUCCUACGGGAGGCAGCAGUGGGGAAUAUUGCACAAUGGGCGCAAGCCUGAUGCAGCGACGCCGCGUGAGGGAUGACGGCCUUCGGGUUGUAAACCUCUGUUAGCAUCGAAGAAGCGAAAGUGACGGUAGGUGCAGAGAAAGCGCCGGCUAACUACGUGCCAGCAGCCGCGGUAAUACGUAGGGCGCGAGCGUUGUCCGGAAUUAUUGGGCGUAAAGAGCUUGUAGGCGGUUGGUCGCGUCUGCUGUGAAAGGCCGGGGCUUAACUCCGGUUUUGCAGUGGGUACGGGCUAACUAGAGUGCAGUAGGGGAGACUGGAAUUCCUGGUGUAGCGGUGGAAUGCACAGAUAUCAGGAGGAACACCGAUGGCGAAGGCAGGUCUUUGGGCUGUAACUGACGCUGAGAAGCGAAAGCAUGGGGAGCGAACAGGAUUAGAUACCCUGGUAGUCCAUGCCGUAAACGUUGGGCACUAGGUGUGGGGGACAUUCCACGUUUUCCGCGCCGU
RNAcentral lists this ribosomal RNA (508 nucleotides) under uncultured bacterium. RNAcentral describes it as "bacterial SSU rRNA". It matches the Rfam family "Bacterial small subunit ribosomal RNA", at positions 331 to 849 of the family's 1533-position model. The record is from RNAcentral.